RNAcentral lists this ribosomal RNA (497 nucleotides) under uncultured bacterium. RNAcentral's name for it is "partial 16S ribosomal RNA". It matches the Rfam family "Bacterial small subunit ribosomal RNA", at positions 28 to 507 of the family's 1533-position model. The record is from RNAcentral.
GAUGAACGCUGGCGGCGUGCCUAAUACAUGCAAGUCGAGCGAACAGAUGAGGAGCUUGCUCCUCUGACGUUAGCGGCGGACGGGUGAGUAACACGUGUAUACCCUACCUAUAAGACUGGGAUAACUUCGGGAAACCGGAGCUAAUACCGGAUAAUAUAUUGCACCGCAUGGUUCAAUAGUGAAAGACGGUUUUGCUGGCACGUAUAGAUGGAUCCGCGCCGCAUUAGCUAGUUGGUAAGGUAACGGCUUACUAAGGCAACUAUGCGUAGCCGACGGGAGAGGGUGAUCGGCCACACGGGAACGUGGACACGGUCCAGACUCCUACGGGAGGCCGCAGUAGGGAAUCUGCCGCAAUGGGCGAAAGCCUGACGGAGCAACGCCACGCGAGUGAUGAAGGUCUUCGGAUCGUAAAACUCUGUUAUUGGGGAAGAACAAAUGUGUAAGUAACUAUGCACGUCUUGACGGUACCUAAUCAGAAAGCCACGGCUAACUACGUG